GAUGAACGCUAGCUACAGGCUUAACACAUGCAAGUCGAGGGACCGGCGCACGGGUGAGUAACACGUAUCCAACCUUCCGUUUACUCAGGGAUAGCCUUUCGAAAGAAAGAUUAAUACCUGAUAGUGAUGGAUGGGGAUGCGUCUGAUUAGCCUGUUGGCGGGGUAACGGCCCACCAAGGCGACGAUCAGUAGGGGUUCUGAGAGGAAGGUCCCCCACAUUGGAACUGAGACACGGUCCAAACUCCUACGGGAGGCAGCAGUGAGGAAUAUUGGUCAAUGGACGAGAGUCUGAACCAGCCAAGUAGCGUGCAGGAUGACGGCCUAUGGGUUGUAAACUGCUUUUAUAAGGGAAUAUGUACCUUAUGAAUAAGGACCGGCUAAUUCCGUGCCAGCAGCCGCGGUAAUACGGAAGGUCCGGGCGUUAUCCGGAUUUAUUGGGUUUAGAGGGAGCGUAGGCCGGAGAUUAAGCGUGUUGUGAAAUGUAGACGCUCAACGUCUGCACUGCAGCGCGAACUGGUUUCCUUGAGUACGCACAAAGUGGGCGGAAUUCGUGGUGUAGCGGUGAAAUGCUUAGAUAUCACGAAGAACUCCGAUUGCGA
This 599-nucleotide ribosomal RNA is filed under the name uncultured bacterium. RNAcentral's name for it is "bacterial SSU rRNA". It matches the Rfam family "Bacterial small subunit ribosomal RNA", at positions 28 to 718 of the family's 1533-position model. The record is from RNAcentral.